This 253-nucleotide ribosomal RNA is filed under the name uncultured bacterium. RNAcentral describes it as "partial 16S ribosomal RNA". It matches the Rfam family "Bacterial small subunit ribosomal RNA", at positions 524 to 776 of the family's 1533-position model. The record is from RNAcentral.
UACGGAGGGUGCAAGCGUUACUCGGAAUCACUGGGCGUAAAGCGCACGUAGGCGGACUCGUAGGUCAAUUGUGAAAUACCUGGGCUCAACCCGGGAACUGCAGUUGAAACCGCUUGUCUUGAAUACCUGAGAGGGUGGGGGAAUACCUGGUGGAGAAGUGAAAUUCGUAGAGAUCAGGUGGAACACCGGAGGCGAAGGCGCCUGCCUGGCAGUGUAUUGACGCUGAGGUGCGAAAGUGCGGGGAGCAAACAGG